GGAAAGUGGGGGGGGGAGGCGGCGGAAAUAGUGGGGGGGGAGUGGUUGGGCGGAGUUAUAGGGGGGAAAGGGGGGGUAUGCGGCUAGAUAGGUCCGCUGUGAAAACUCGAGGCUCAACCGCGAGACGCCGGUGGAAACCAUCUAGCUAGAGUCCGGAAGAGGAGAGUGGAAUUCCUGGUGUAGCGGUGAAAUGCGCAGAUAUCAGGAAGAACACCCGUGGCUAAGGCGGCUCUCUAGUACGGUACUGACGCUGAGACGCGAAAGCGUGGGGAGCGAACAGGAUUAGAUACCCGAGUAGUC
RNAcentral lists this ribosomal RNA (300 nucleotides) under uncultured Facklamia sp. RNAcentral describes it as "partial 16S ribosomal RNA". The stretch from base 52 to 300 matches the Rfam family "Bacterial small subunit ribosomal RNA", at positions 547 to 795 of the family's 1533-position model. The record is from RNAcentral. Lineage: Bacteria; Bacillati; Bacillota; Bacilli; Lactobacillales; Aerococcaceae.